Molecule: small nuclear RNA, 110 nt
Organism: Saimiri boliviensis boliviensis (Bolivian squirrel monkey)
Lineage: Eukaryota; Metazoa; Chordata; Mammalia; Primates; Cebidae
Source: Ensembl
GUGCUCACUUCAGGAGCACAUAUACUAAAAUUGGAAUGAUACAGAGAAGAUUAUUAGCAUGGCCCCUGCACAAGGAUGACACACAAAAUCAUCUAUUUUUAAAUUUUUUA